UACGUAGGUCCCGAGCGUUGUCCGGAUUUAUUGGGCGUAAAGCGAGCGCAGGUGGUUUAUUAAGUCUGGUGUAAAAGGCAGUGGCUCAACCAUUGUAUGCAUUGGAAACUGGUAGACUUGAGUGCAGGAGAGGAGAGUGGAAUUCCAUGUGUAGCGGUGAAGUGCGUAGAUAUAUGGAGGAACACCGGUGGCGAAAGCGGCUCUCUGGUCUGUAACUGACGCUGAGGUUCGAAAGCGUGGGUAGCAAACAGG
RNAcentral lists this ribosomal RNA (252 nucleotides) under uncultured bacterium. RNAcentral describes it as "partial 16S ribosomal RNA". It matches the Rfam family "Bacterial small subunit ribosomal RNA", at positions 524 to 776 of the family's 1533-position model. The record is from RNAcentral.